RNAcentral lists this ribosomal RNA (817 nucleotides) under Neoechinorhynchus golvani. RNAcentral describes it as "LSU rRNA". It matches the Rfam family "Eukaryotic large subunit ribosomal RNA", at positions 368 to 965 of the family's 3401-position model. The record is from RNAcentral. Lineage: Eukaryota; Metazoa; Acanthocephala; Eoacanthocephala; Neoechinorhynchida; Neoechinorhynchidae.
AAAGGACUUUGAAAAGAGAGUUAAAAAGUGCGUGAAACUGCACAUUGAAAAGCGAAUGAGUACGCGUUGGUCUUGGUUGUUGCCAUUCAGGCUUGGCUGAUGGUUGUUUUCAAAUGGCUCAUAAAGCUUUUGAAAUGCUGUCAGGCUUGUCGCAUUUGGCAGCCUAGCAAUCUGCUUGGCUUUAUUUUUGCUGCGUCUACGCCGAAGUACUCCUCCUCCUUGUGAGGCUGGUAGGGUCGGUAGUUGUGUCGAUAAAUGGAUAUGCGAAGGAAACUGCUUCUUUAUUGAAGCAGUGGUCAGCUGAAAUGAAGUUUGGCGAACUCUUUCAGGCGACCUAUUGAUAAUUGUUCAGGCUGGUUAUGGGCGAGUGACGUGUUUACACGUCACAGUAAUUGUAUGGUCAGAUAUUGGAUUGUUGGUAUCGGUCGUUUGAAUGCUGAAAGCAGAUAUUGUUGCGGCAUCAUUCGAACCGUCUUGAAAACACGGGCUAAGGAGUUCAACAAAUGCGCGAGUUUUACUGGUCUUAUGAAACCAGAUGGCAAAGUUAACGCGAGUUUGUGGUUGAUGGCGAUAAACUCGAUUGCAAUUUAGCAACGAGAUCAUCGCUUAUGAUGGUUGGCAUAUUGAGUAAUGGUUGUCGUUCGCAAUAGAGCGCAUAUGCUGAGACCCGAAAGAUGGUGAACUAUGCCUGAGUAGGAUGAAGCCGGAGGAAACUCUGGUGGAGGUCCGAAGCGUUUUUGACGUGCAAAUCAAUCGUCAGACUUGGGUAUAGGGGCGAAAGACUAAUCGAACCAUCUAGUAGCUGGUUCCCUUCGAA